ACUUUACUUCGAAACAGGUCAACGAUUUGAAAAAAAGUCAACAAAAAUCGAUAAAAAUUCCCGACGUUAUCUAUCAGCCUUGGGAAAGUCAAGCCAAUGGAUCAGGAGCAACACGAUGAACAUCACUUGUCUGAUAUACAAAAUUGACUUAUCUGAUUCAUCACGGUUCGACGGUAUAGAAAAUGAACCCUCAAUGAGAAAUCAUAAUAAUUGUUGUGACGAAUGCAGAGAUACAUAAGAAACUGAAGAAAGAUUGUCCAGACAAAUAUACGCUAUUGAAGCUCUACUACAAGAGGGGAAUGCAGGAUGAGGUUAUAGCGCAAGACAUCUGUUACCUCCAUUGCUUCUAAUGACGCUGAAACAGUUCUUGCAGUGCGAAAAUCAGUUGGAAGUGAAUACCAACAUGAGAAAACAAUUUAUAAACUCGGUGAUAAAACAGUUACCAGGUGACGUCUGCCGAAUUAGAAGAAGCCAUCGAAGAAUGGUUCCAUCGCUCAGAUGACAG
Molecule: long non-coding RNA, 505 nt
Organism: Atta colombica
Lineage: Eukaryota; Metazoa; Arthropoda; Insecta; Hymenoptera; Formicidae
Exons: 5
Source: RefSeq, a predicted model, not a curated record